RNAcentral lists this ribosomal RNA (253 nucleotides) under uncultured bacterium. Its description in RNAcentral is "partial 16S ribosomal RNA". It matches the Rfam family "Bacterial small subunit ribosomal RNA", at positions 524 to 776 of the family's 1533-position model. The record is from RNAcentral.
UACGUAGGGAGCAAGCGUUGUCCGGAUUCACUGGGUGUAAAGGGUGCGCAGGCGGAUUUGUUAGUCAGAGGUGAAAUCUCACGGCUUAACCGUGAAACUGCCUUUGAUACUGCAGAUCUUGAGUUUGGGAGAGGUUGAUGGAAUUCCAGGUGUAGCGGUGAAAUGCGUAGAUAUCUGGAAGAACACCAGUGGCGAAGGCGGCUACCUGGACCGGUUCUGACGCUGAUGCGCGAAAGCGUGGGUAGCAAACAGG